UUCUCCGCCCUCCUCAGAUUAAGAUGAAAAGACUUAACAAUAGUCUUCUGUUCGCGGUUGGUUAGCAAGGGCGGGCGGCCAGAUCGAGCCUUUGAUUGGUUACUGCCAGUCGAGUUGCAGGUGUUAGUAAUGUUUUGGAUGAAGGAAUCGGCUCUACCAACAAGAGCACCAAUUACCCUAUAAGAUUUUCCUUCCAAAAAAAAUUUAUAAUUAUUCGUUCCUCAACAGAAAUUUGUUUGACCUUUUUAUUCAUGUUGAAAUUCUUUGGAACUUGAUGCACAAAUUUAGCUUCAACUGACUUGUCUUUAAACAGUUGUACGCAGACUUUUGGGCGUACACUUGUAGUGUUAAAUUUAAUAUUAUAUAUAAAAUAUAACCCCUCGUUGAAUAGUUCUGAAAAACACGUCAUUUAGGACAAUAAACUUAAGUUCCAUUGAAAAAAAAGAUUAAAUAAAAUACAUGCAUAAAUGGCCGAACAAUUCAUGUUAAAAGUUUCAUUUUAAAAUUUUUUGAGGGUGUACGCAUACACACUGAGAGUAAUUGUACAUUUUCUCAGGCAGACUACUUCUAGAAAAGGGCAGCGAGAUAAUACGCGUGACGAGGCGACACCUCCUGAACCAUAUUUAGCAAGCCAAUUUAUAAGGAUUCUCGCAAAAAAAAAGGAAAGGGCAUUCACGGUCGACAUUCAAGUGGUCGACAUGGUACGAACGGUCGUCAUGGUAAGGGCAAACGGUAGUGCCGAGCUAAAAUAAGGCGAAAAAAAGGAAGAGAACGACUACGAGCCAAACGUAAGCUGUUCGGACAAAAACAAAUUUGCCAAUUCACCAUUGCCUAAGGAAGGGGCGCCUUGAUUGGCAGGCGGUCGAUUGUCCCUGUACGAUAGUGGCGAUCGAUGGGCGCAAGAAAUACUGGAAAUAUUGUCAAAAGGUGAAACUUCGUAUUGAGCAGGUGGCAACGCUUUAUCAUCGGUAUCGAUAGACGAUCGCUCGCGGAUGAUGUAACCAAAGGGUGGGGGCACGAAAAGGAGAAGGAGGAACAAUGAGCCUCGAGAAUUUGAAAUCUACGAGGAAGACAGCGUGGGAAGGAGAAUAAAACGGAGGAUCGGCGUUUUAAAGCUCAUCGGCGAACUGUUGGCCAGAGAUAAGAACGAGAAUUCCUAAUUCCGUCUGAGGAUAAAACUGGAAAGAAGAGGAAGAGUCACAGGACUCAAAGGCUAUGAGGACUCACAGGAUAACAGCCAGAGAGAGAGAGAGAGAAUGAGCUUCUUUUCGUCACCCGAAGAAAGCACGGAAUGUGAGGAGUUAUAUAAAUCCGCAGGACAUCGUCAGUGAAACCAGCAGACACCAUCGAUCGCCGCGCGGACCUCGUUGGAGAGCGCAGGAACGCGUCGAAAGGCCAGAACGAGCAAUAUCAGCAGGCAGUGGAACCAGCGCGAGAAGGUACCGAGACCUGCCAAGGCACACACCCAAUGCAUUAGUAGCACGAGAAUAAAACGUCAUAUAAAUUUAGUUGGACAAACACAAAAUCUUCUGUAGAAGCCGCACGAACCUCG
Long non-coding RNA from Drosophila biarmipes, 1552 nucleotides. RefSeq lists it as uncharacterized. NCBI's taxonomy places the organism in Eukaryota, Metazoa, Arthropoda, Insecta, Diptera, Drosophilidae. The record is from RefSeq and is a predicted model, not a curated record. The transcript has 4 exons.